GAAAUGCCUCCCACCCCCCAUGUGAGGGAUACCACCAGGAAGAUUCAGGCACAGAAAGCGUUUCAGACUGGCACCUCUAAUGUUUCAAUGGGGUGAACACAACACAACACAACAAUGGGAUGACCUCGAAAGGCCCGUUGCAUAUGCAAGUCGGAAGCUCCUACCUGCUGAAACAAGCCAAUGGACAGAGAUGAUGAAAGUCUUUCCAUCAAGAAGAUGCUUCUGGAUACACUUUUAUAUAUAUAAAAAUUUGUCAAAGCAUAUCUAUGAAACACAUCAUUUGAUCAGAUGCUUAAGAAGCCAGUAACCACACCAGAGAAAGCAAUCAGAAAUAUACAUUUUAUAUCUUACAUAUUCUGAGCAAUUCAAAUACAUUUAAAACAAAUAAGCUACCAUGCAGAUGCUACAAUUAAAGGGUCAAUAAACAUCACUUCUAACGGUAAUUGGUUGUUUUCAAACACUUACCCACUUAGAAGCAGGUUAUAGCAACAAAUUUACCACACAGGCAGCUAAAUCAAUUAUCAGGGGAAAAAAGUCAUUAGCAAGCUGGGGGCGCUAUUUUAAACCAGGAACUGAAACACUCCUAGUAAUCUAGUAACCUCAUCUCGGCAGGCUGUCAAGCUUUGGAUGCUUUUACUGCUUUAUUUUAUCUUAGGUCAAUACUUCCCAAUGUUUUCCUCAGCAUGAACCCCUUGCUCCCAACCCACAGUCCCCCACCAUAGUGCUCGAACCCCAGCUGCCACCCAUUGGAGGUGGCAACUGCUGCAAUGCGAGUACAGUGCAGAGUCCAGCUCUACGCCCUGGCCCCCAAGGCCAGAGUGGAUGCAGGCUGCCUGCUGUGGGCUCAGGGCUCCCUGUCCUGCUGUCCUCACCCUGAGAGCUUCUGCGGACCAGUGGGCGAGACCUGUCCCCCCUUGCCCACCUAGCAGCAGUGGCAUGGAGUUGCACCCCCCUCUGCUGAUAGGCAGGCUGGGGGCACCCUGGCAGGGAGGCACAGCUGAUGAGGUAAUAGUGGCACCAAGCCUCCCCACCCCACUCUACUGCAGAGUCCCCCGGGUGGGAAAUGGCUGCAGGGAGAGAAGUCCCGAACCCACAUCCGCCCCAGCCCUGUGCACAAGUCUGGGGUGCACAUGCCCCUCCAUGCCUCCCUUCCCCAGGACUGACUCUGCCACUGCGCACACCUCUCCCUCCAGCCACCCCUGGCUCUAUCCUGCUCCCUUAGCUGGGCCCUGUAUUCCCAGCCCAACUCAGGGCCCCAGGCACCAGCCCUGCUGGGCAGCACCCCAGCCCCACCCCACUCCCUCACCAUGGGGGCCUCAAUCUGCCCUCCCCACCCCAUAGACUUAUCUGCAGGGAGCUGUGGGACCUGCUCCCUACACUGCCUGGCUGUCACAUGCAUGUGUGCAGAUGCACAUGGCACCCCCUGCCUGAUUGCCCUUCUUCCACUCCCCCCAGCUCCAAGCAGCCCCUUGCAGUCUGCAAUUUUGACAGCGUGCAAGGGGAACAUGCCAUUUCCUGCUUUUUUCUCCUCUAAAAGGAGAAAAUCUGUGAUCCCUGCAACCCCAUUUUUUUUUAAUCACUGCAACCCCAAAUGGAGUCGUGACCCCAAAGGCUGGGAACUGCUAGCCCAUGUUUGCUUCCGGCGUUUGGUCCUUUGCCUAUUCCCACAGGGAACACCUGGACUAUUUACUUAUCUUUCCUUUUUAUACACCCAGUGCAGGACUCCAGGCAGCCUUGGGGCUCCAACCCUGAGCACGGGGGCAGAUGGAGAACAGUGCAGCAGUAACAGGAGAGAGUGACCCUUUAUUAGUUCUGCACAGGCUUUAGACCAAGGAAACCUCAAGACUGGGAAAACGCAAGGCUGCGACGCCACCUCCUGGUGCCAGCACCAAAGCACUGGUUAAACUGGAGCUCCACCGCGAGAGGCCGGGGCGACCUGUGAACUCCGAGGCGCAGCCUUGGCCGGGCCCUGUCCCGUCCCAGCGGGUGGAGGCGGCCAACGGCCGCG
Long non-coding RNA from Alligator sinensis (Chinese alligator), 2008 nucleotides. RefSeq lists it as uncharacterized. The record is from RefSeq and is a predicted model, not a curated record. The transcript is spliced from 3 exons. Lineage: Eukaryota; Metazoa; Chordata; Crocodylia; Alligatoridae.